Pelobates cultripes (western spadefoot toad) is the source of this 211-nucleotide non-coding RNA. The record is from the annotation of a GenBank genome assembly. NCBI's taxonomy places the organism in Eukaryota, Metazoa, Chordata, Amphibia, Anura, Pelobatidae.
UAGUAAUUAACCAUACAAAUCAGCUCACGCUGUCCUAGUGUAAUUAUAAAUGUAUAGUAUACAUUGCCAUGUCUAAUUAGACAUCAAUUGGAAUUGUUCACACAUUCUCUGCCCUGUUGGACUGGUAUUAAUAAACUAUCACCUUUAGACAGCAAAAUUACAAUGGGCCAGUAUGAUGAUUUAUUGAUUGUAAUAUAUACCAGUCUACCCA